RNAcentral lists this long non-coding RNA (821 nucleotides) under Vulpes vulpes (red fox). RNAcentral's name for it is "lncRNA (ENSVVUG00000005582.1)". The record is from RNAcentral. Lineage: Eukaryota; Metazoa; Chordata; Mammalia; Carnivora; Canidae.
AAUCUCUCAUAGAGAAGGUUCUGGCAAUCCUCCUGACAUCACAGAGACUGGGACACCAUCAGUGUUGAGCUGACCACCAAGGAGGGCCCCACAGUCCUCACAGGCCCCAGCAGCCUGCCCUGGCUCUCCAUGUCCUGGCCCAGACUGGGAGUAGUGCACAGACUAUGCCCAGCUGCUGUCUCUCCACCCUCAGGCCUUAAACACCUCCUCCAGGAAGCCCUCCUUGUUUACCUGCCCCUACAAAGCCAUGCUCAGCAUGUGUGUGUGACCUCACAGCCCAUGUGUGUCUGCCACUGAGAGGACUAUGCCUCCACUUUGCAAGGGGAAGAGGCCAGGAAGGAGGCCCGGAAGGAAGUCGUGGGAGAGGCAAGGGGAGCCCAGCACGGAUGUGUGAGGAACCGACUGAAGCCUUGGCCUCCCUGCAUCAGAGAAACAUGAGAUUUUCAUCCUAAAAUCCUCUCACAAUGGACCAAGCCUGGAAAGUUCCAUUGAACAUGGCCAUUCAGUGCCGCCCAUGCACUGGCCCCCAGCGACCCCAAGGGACGGCCACACCUGUACCCUUCCGCAGGAGCCCUCGUCGUCCCCCCUCGUGCAGCUCUUCUGGGACAUGGAGGCCAACUUCCCCUCACGCCCCGAGCUCUCCCAACCUGACUCCACUGCCACCUGCCCAGUGUGAGGUUCCAGGUGGACAUGAGUUUGAGGGGAAACCAUCCAACCCAAGAUGUCUGCGUGGGCUUGUUUCCCUCUAUCUUGUCCUCCACCCACUGUGGCCUCCAAAGGAACUGCUUGCAUCCAGCCUACAUAACAGGAGCUGCUCCUGA